RNAcentral lists this non-coding RNA (18 nucleotides) under Trypanosoma vivax. The record is from RNAcentral. Lineage: Eukaryota; Euglenozoa; Kinetoplastea; Trypanosomatida; Trypanosomatidae.
UUAAUUAAUAAACAUAUG